Alnus glutinosa is the source of this 1556-nucleotide long non-coding RNA. RefSeq lists it as uncharacterized. The transcript has 2 exons. The record is from RefSeq and is a predicted model, not a curated record. Lineage: Eukaryota; Viridiplantae; Streptophyta; Magnoliopsida; Fagales; Betulaceae.
AACAUGCACCAACACUUGCAGAUUUAAGCCAUGCGCGCCCUGUCCCCGCCCUUUUCUUCUUAUGCAACACUUCUUCACCUUUCGUUUCUUUUCUUCUCUCCUUUCUCUCGUUUCUCCCUUCUCUUCUGCACAUCCUCACGCACGAGAGAUUGAGAGAGAUGAUGAAACAGAGAAGAGCAACCCAGCGAGAGAGACCGAAACGGAGAGAGAGAGAGAGCAGCAGCAGCACCGUGGAUGCCUGUGUCGGUGCCAUAGGUGACAGACCCACAACCCGGUACCGGUGGUUCCCAAGUUCAGAAGCUGUUCCAGAGGGCCUAUGGUCGUAGUCACAGGCCACUGGAUGUUGUUGGGGUCUUCAACAAGGUAGAGGACUUCCAGUGCAAGAUGGCUACUUCAAUAGAAUGAAGUAGGGAAGAUGGAAGUUUUCGUGUUGCAUGGAGUACAAAAGAGAUGUGAGAAUUUGCUCUGUUCAUGCUAGCAAGAAACAGAGGCUAACAAAGAUGAUUUGGGGUGCUUCAAAAUCAGCAGUUCUUGAUGUCCCCUGUCUCGUCUUCGCUCAAAUCAGCAGCUCUUGAUGUCCCGGCGCAGUUUGUGAAAAUGGAGGAGCACAAUUUCUUCAGCGCCUGGGAGACGUGCAAUAUAUUCUCGGAUGAGCAAGCUCCGAGCCUUCAAUGGUGCCAUCCUGACCAGUGGACCUAAAGGAAGCAAACCCAUGUUCAGAUAUUAUUGGGAAAAUAAUAAGAAAAGCCAAAAGUGAGCUCAAUUAGAGCAUCUGAUCCAGGUCAUGCUUGGACAUGAACGCGGUUCUCAACACAGCAUGCAUGCAUGCAUGCCCACAAGUAUUAGCGACCAAAUUCUGCCACAUCUGAAUCAAUCCGUACCUGGAUCACCUUCUCUUAUGUUGAAUGCCUACAGAAGUCAGAAGGCAUCUUUCCAAGUCUUUGAUGUAAAGAAUUGACCAACAAUAAGCAUUUUUCAUAUGUGACCCCAAUUGUUGUUGAUCCAGCGCAUGUAGGCCGGAGACUGGAGAGGGAAAGAAAAGAGAAAAAACAAAUGGUGCUCAAGUAGAGUGAUGGAUUGUAAAAGCAUGAGCAAAAUUUCUAGCUAUUAUUCUAUAAUCCUCAGGCUCACAGCCAAAUUAAACCGCUUUUUUUUUUUUUUUUUGGUGCUUCAGUUUAUAACUAGAAGCCAUUGAUGUUAUCCUUCAAAGGAGCCCAGAAUCUUCUGUUCCAACACAAACAAAACCAAGCAGCUAUUCGAGGAGCCCAGAACCUUUGUCAUUGUCUUUUUCGUCGGAUGUGGAGUCCAUGUUAUCUCCUCCACGGGCAGGGAGGUACAGCAGGUCAAUGAGUUACUCAGCGAGGAUGGAUGGUGCGGAGGGCAGAGGCAAUAGUUCGUCACCUCAAGAGCUCGUUGGUGGAGGUGAUGAUCCAGGCAAUUGCUCAUAGCGUGAAUUAUGUUUGGGUUAUUGAGGAUGAUUGUAGCUUGGUUGGAAUCGUCACAUUUUCUGACACAUUGAAGGUGAAGUGGAAAUAAAAAUAUUAUUUUAAGGUGAA